This 114-nucleotide microRNA precursor is filed under the name Schistosoma mansoni. RNAcentral's name for it is "microRNA sma-mir-8443 precursor". Lineage: Eukaryota; Metazoa; Platyhelminthes; Trematoda; Strigeidida; Schistosomatidae. The record is from miRBase by way of RNAcentral.
UAGUCAUGUUCAGAACUUUGCAUUCAUAUUGGUUUUUGUACAAGUAAGGCGAAUGACGAACUUACCGCAUUUACUAGACACAUCCAAUUAUAAUGCAUUCUCUUACCAUUUCUU